UACGUAGGCAGCGAGCGUUGUCCGGAAUUAUUGGGCGUAAAGAGUGUGUAGGCGGUGUUCUAAGUUCGGUGUGAAAUCUCCUGGCUCAACUGGGAGGGUGCGGCGGAAACUGGAGUGCUUGAGCGUGGGAGAGGAAAGCGGAAUUCCUGGUGUAGCGGUGAAAUGCGUAGAUAUCAGGAGGAACACCUGUGGUGUAGACGGCUUUCUGGACCAUAGCUGACGCUGAGACACGAAAGCGUGGGUAGCAAACAGG
This 253-nucleotide ribosomal RNA is filed under the name uncultured bacterium. RNAcentral's name for it is "partial 16S ribosomal RNA". It matches the Rfam family "Bacterial small subunit ribosomal RNA", at positions 524 to 776 of the family's 1533-position model. The record is from RNAcentral.